CCAGCAGCCGCGGUAAUUCCAGCUCCAGUAGCGUAUAUUAAAGUUGUUGCAGUUAAAAAGCUCGUAGUUGGAAGUCUGUGCGGGAAAAGGAAUGGCUCUGCCGUGCCUGGUCCUGCACAUCCGUCAGAACAGACUCAGUGGCAUUGAGUUGUCGCUGUGUUGAUCUGGCACUUUACCUUGAGCAAAUUAGAGUGUUCCAGGCAGGCCAGCGCCUGAAUAGUCCAGCAUGGAAUAAUAGAAUAGGACUGAGCUCCAUUUAUUGGUGUUAUGGCGCUCGGUAAUGAUUAAUAGGGAUAGUUGGGGGCAUUCGUAUUUAAUUGUCAGAGGUGAAAUUCUAUGAUUUAUUAAAGACGAACCUAUGCGAAAGCAUUUGCCAAGGAUGUUUUCAUUAAUCAAGAACGAAAGUU
RNAcentral lists this ribosomal RNA (407 nucleotides) under uncultured eukaryote. RNAcentral's name for it is "SSU rRNA". It matches the Rfam family "Eukaryotic small subunit ribosomal RNA", at positions 567 to 991 of the family's 1831-position model. The record is from RNAcentral.